GACGAACGCUGGCGGCGUGCUUAACACAUGCAAGUCGAACGGAAAGGCCCUGCUUUUGUGGGGUGCUCGAGUGGCGAACGGGUGAGUAACACGUGAGUAACCUGCCCUUGACUUUGGGAUAACUUCAGGAAACUGGGGCUAAUACCGGAUAGGAGCUCCUGCUGCAUGGUGGGGGUUGGAAAGUUUCGGCGGUUGGGGAUGGACUCGCGGCUUAUCAGCUUGUUGGUGGGGUAGUGGCUUACCAAGGCUUUGACGGGUAGCCGGCCUGAGAGGGUGACCGGCCACAUUGGGACUGAGAUGCGGCCCAGACUCCUACGGGAGGCAGCAGUGGGGAAUAUUGCACAAUGGGCGGAAGCCUGAUGCAGCAACGCCGCGUGCGGGAUGACGGCCUUCGGGUUGUAAACCGCUUUCGCCUGUGACGAAGCGUGAGUGACGGUAAUGGGUAAAGAAGCACCGGCUAACCACGUG
RNAcentral lists this ribosomal RNA (468 nucleotides) under uncultured bacterium. RNAcentral's name for it is "partial 16S ribosomal RNA". It matches the Rfam family "Bacterial small subunit ribosomal RNA", at positions 28 to 507 of the family's 1533-position model. The record is from RNAcentral.